AUGAUGGAUGCCGGCGAGAUCGUCCAUUUCGCCUCCCCGUCCUACGACCAGAUGAAUUGCGGCGUCCAGAUGGCAGCCAAGAAGGCGGCGUCAUUGUUACAAGACAAAAUGGUUGGUGAAGGAGAUGUGCCUGGUAGUGAAACAGAGGUUCAUAUUUUCUUUAUCUUUUAUCCUAUGACCAUUUAUUUAUGCUCUUUCUUUUACCAUCUCAGUAGUUCAAACUUUUUUGUUCAUUGUAGGGUUCUCCAAAUAGGACCUCUCGGCGGGACUCAAAACGGGCUGCUAAGCGGAAUGAGCUGGCAUUCUCAGACUUUUCUAGUUGCACAAGAGUACGUGAUUAGUUGGCAUCCUCAGCAUUUCUAG
RNAcentral lists this ribosomal RNA (363 nucleotides) under Triticum aestivum (bread wheat). Its description in RNAcentral is "partial small subunit ribosomal RNA". Lineage: Eukaryota; Viridiplantae; Streptophyta; Magnoliopsida; Poales; Poaceae. The record is from RNAcentral.